UAUGACUUAAAGGGGUGUGAGACAAAAAUUUGUUCAAUAUCUCACUGAGACCGGAGAAAAACAUGCGAGUGUCUGCAAAUAUUUACAAUGUCAGUCUAUUUGGAAUAGGAUUUGGGUUUCAUUUAGUAUGCAAUAGUCUCGUUGGACCACAGAAGCUGGUUUCUAAAUCCCAUCUCAGCCACACACGCAAACUUAAGCUAACGUCAUUAACGUUCGCAAAGCACCUUGGGCUGGGGCAGGUGGAGGCCAUCCUCCUCAAAGGCAGGAUUGGCCAAUGACAGAGCCAGGGACACACCUGUGAGUGCUACAGCCAAAGGGCAUUGGCUACAGCCUGAAAAUUACACCUGUGGGGGUGGGGGAAUCUGCUAUAUGUAAACCAAGUCGUUUACAAAUUCAGUCUCUCUGCUCAAGAGCUUAAACUGGUCACAUCGCCUCCAGCAACUUUGACAUCUUCAAGAGACAAAGGCUUCACCGUUGAUGUUUACCUUGCUCUAGUUAUGCUUCGACCUUCUAGAUGGGAUGCAGCCAGUCCCCAAAUCAAGAUGGUCUCCUUCCACCUGACAGCAAGGCAUUCUGCAGCGAACAGGGCGUCGAACGACGCGAAGAGGGAAGAGGAAGACAAGUCUCUGAGGCAGCACUUCUGACUUAAAAUGGUAUCUGGUUUCGAGUUCCCGGACCACUCUAAGGAAGAAACGGCCCCACCCAGCUUUAGUUAAAGAAUACUGGUCCGUUGGCUGUUAAACCAGACGUGCUGAAAGCUGUUUCCUCAUCCCCUCCCCCUGGGUUCUGUGUGGCUUUUGUGAUCGCAGCUGAGCUCUGAUUGGACAAGCUCAUUUUACCUGCGUGGCACAUCCUGCAACUGACACAUGAGCUCACCUGAACAUGAUAAAAAUAGAGUUACCAACACCCUACACUCUGCCCCUCCUCUUCCCAUUGCCUGGUUCUGCUUAUAUAUCUUCCUAAAUAUUGUAGAUCAUAUUUAUCCUGACAGCAUAGACAUUUAUGUGUAGUUCAGUGCCUGAGUGGAGCAAACACUCCACAACAAAGGAAUGAGACUUUGGUAAAGUAACACUAAAACUGACUAAGUCAGAUAUUGGAACUAAUCCGUAGCCUAUAUUUAAUAGUUUAGGUGGCUUUGCUUUUUAUCAGGAUUAAAAAAAACAACAGAAAGUACACAAAUACAUUGUCUAACAUUGUAACAAUGUCUAACAAUGUCUAACAUAGUGUUUUACAACAUACUGUUUGGUUAAGGUGGAAGACUCAAAUAUUAAACCACGCCCAUAUUUGCACAUCUGAGGGAGUUUUUUAUUUAUUUUUUAUUUAGUGUCACACAUGCAUGAAACUGAGUUAUGUUUGUUGUUCAUGGCUUUUUUGUAUUUUUAUAAGUACGCAUUACAAAGUCAUGUCAUUUAGCUUCAUAAAGAGGCAGUACUUUAGGCUUUAGGCUUUUCAUCUCUCCUUUUGUUCUCCUGUUUUCCCUUCCGUUCUUUCAAACUUCAUUGUAACUAUAACUUGGAUCACUGCAACAGAUGGUUUUAUUGCUAUCCAGUCACAGCUCACACUGUAUUUCAUUCCUGUUUUUCUUUCAAGUACAAUAAAUUCAGCCCAGUCUACGAUAUAUCUAUCUAAAGCCUGUUAAUUGGCGUCUUACCAGACAUGGUUAGAUCUGAUUAUUAGUGUCUAAUACUGUCUGGUAAUGCCGUCCAUUACAUGGCAUUAGCGUCCAGAUGACAAAGAAAGGAAAGGAUGCUCCAAGGAUGUCAUUUGCAUUUGUACUAUUCAUGCAGUAUGAUAUCUUAGUGUUUUGGGGGUUUUUUUUUAUUUCUUUGUGAAGGAAGUAAUACGAAUGAAUCACUUACAGAAUGCUCUGAAUCAUUUUGCCAGGUUAGUCAGGUCUUUAAAAUAGAACAGACCAAGUCGCUGGUUUAACCUGUACGAGGAACUAUGAACCCAACACUGGAAGACUGAUGCCAUUUACAAUGCUCUUCCAUGUGUCAUGAGUCAGAGUUUCUUUCCUCCUCUUCAAGAGAGCUGUGAGUCAUGUUUGUCAUCCAUCAUCCCCUGUUCAUACAGUAUAUGUGCUGAGAGUUGUGUGAUGUACCUUUCACAGUAUAAUUAUAUAGUGUGUAACCUUUGUAUGAAACAGCGGUUCGAUAAAUAUGAAUGUCAUGGUUGUUGCAUCAAAAAAGAAGCAUGUUAAUUGUUUGAAGAAGACUCGGCAGCAUGUUCUCAUAGUGUUGUCAUGGUAACUGAAUUCUACAUGGGUACCAGAUCCACAAAAAUAUGAUGACUACUCUUUAUCCAACCAAAAUGACUGUCUCCUCUCCUCUGCUGUUGGUUUAAUUUGUUCAGUUUUGGAUGCAUGUUAUGUAUUGUGCUGAAAAACAGUGAAAUAAAGUACAUGUAAAAUCAA
This is a long non-coding RNA of Ictalurus punctatus (channel catfish), 2413 nucleotides long. RefSeq lists it as uncharacterized. NCBI's taxonomy places the organism in Eukaryota, Metazoa, Chordata, Actinopteri, Siluriformes, Ictaluridae. The transcript has 2 exons. The record is from RefSeq and is a predicted model, not a curated record.